Salvia splendens (bonfire salvia) is the source of this 917-nucleotide long non-coding RNA. RefSeq lists it as uncharacterized. The record is from RefSeq and is a predicted model, not a curated record. The transcript is spliced from 3 exons. NCBI's taxonomy places the organism in Eukaryota, Viridiplantae, Streptophyta, Magnoliopsida, Lamiales, Lamiaceae.
CUCAAAUUCACUCUAUCAAUACAGAGACGCACAUCUUCCCGCCAUUAGACGGAAGAACUCCCGCGAAAAAAAAGAACCAUUCAUCGACAUCGAUUCACACAAAUGUCAGGAUCCUUUCGUACCUAUGGGAGUCAGCAAGUUCCAUCUGGAAGCAAAGAUAGAACUCGUCGUGCGUGGAGCGACAAAGAGGAAAUGUUCUUGAUUGGGAUAAUGAAGGAGUUGGUAGCUACUGGCUGGAAGUCCGAUAACGGCUUCAGAUUUGGGUAUCUGAUGAAAGCAGAAGAGUCAAUGCGCCGAGAGUUUCCGGGGACUGAUUUGAAGGCCAACCCUCAUAUCUAAUCGAGAAUUCACACCUUGAAGAAGAGUUUCUAUGCUCUGUCAAAAAUAUUAGAUUGAAGUGGUGUGGGGUUCAAUGUUCACGGUGACUAUAAGAUCGACGUAAGCGACGAUCAAUGGAGCCAAAUUGUUAAGGUACUUGUAGACUCCAUACAUAUCUCUUGAACUAUAUACUAUCACAGUUUCGCGAUUGUAUCUAGCAUCAUUAAUACAGGCUGAUGGGGCUGGCCAUGGACUACGUACUAAGUCGUGGCCAUAUUAUGAGGACUGGAAGUGGAUCUUUGGUAUGGAUAGGGCGAGUGGAAUAACAGCGGAAGACAUGCUUGAUGCUUACAAUGAACUCGAUCCGAUUGAGCAAGUGGCAACUAAUGGAGCUAGCCUUGAUUACGACUUUGGUCUCCAUGACUUCCUUGGAGGUGAUGCAGGGUUGAACAGGGACUCCCCUCCUGUGAUGAGUGACAAUGGAUUCUCUCGUGGGCGUGAGAUACCUCCUGUGAUGACUAAUAGUGGAUUCUCUCGUUCGCGUGAGACACCACCAACUGACCACAACACAAAUAAUCAAACUCAAGAAUUUGUCAUAA